Molecule: ribosomal RNA, 384 nt
Filed under: uncultured bacterium
Lineage: Bacteria
Description: bacterial SSU rRNA
Rfam family: Bacterial small subunit ribosomal RNA
Source: RNAcentral
AUUGAACGCUGGCGGCAGGCCUAACACAUGCAAGUCGAGCGGUAGCAGGCCUUCGGGCGCUGACGAGCGGCGGACGGGUGAGGAACACGUAGGAAUCUGCCUUGUAGUGGGGGAUAGCCCAGAGAAAUUUGGAGUAAUACCGCAUAUGCCCUGAGGGGGAAAGUGGGGGACCGAAAGGCCUCACGCUAUGAGAGGAGCUUGCGUCGGAUUAGCUAGUUGGUGGGGUAAGAGCCCACCAAGGCGACGAUCCGUAGCUGGUCUGAGAGGAUGAUCAGCCACACUGGAACUGAGACACGGUCCAGACUCCUACGGGAGGCAGCAGUGGGGAAUAUUGGACAAUGGGGGCAACCCUGAUCCAGCCAUGCCGCGUGUGUGAAGAAGGCC